GAUGAAGAACGUAGCGAAAUGCGAUACUUGGUGUGAAAUGCAGAAUCCCGUGAACCAUCGAGUCUUUGAACGCAAGUUGCGCCCGAAGCCAUUAGGCCGAGGGCACGCCUGCCUGGGCGUCACACGUCGUUGCCCCCCCAUCUACUCCUUCGGGAUUGCGGGGGGCGGAUGAUGGCCUCCCGUGCGCCUCGUCGCGCGGUUGGCAUAAAUGCCAAGUCCUCGGCGACGCACGCCACGACAAUCGGUGGUUGCGAAACCUCGGUUGCCCGUCGUGUGCGGUCGUCGCGCAUCGAGGGCUCGAAAAAAUUGCCGGGCUCCGGCUCGGCUUUCAACGCGACCCCAGGUCAGGCGGGGUUACCCGCUGAAUUUAAGCAUAUCAAUAAGCGGAGGA
RNAcentral lists this unclassified non-coding RNA (391 nucleotides) under soil metagenome. Its description in RNAcentral is "partial contains 5.8S ribosomal RNA, internal transcribed spacer 2, and large subunit ribosomal RNA". The stretch from base 1 to 122 matches the Rfam family "5.8S ribosomal RNA", at positions 35 to 154 of the family's 154-position model. The record is from RNAcentral.